UCUUAGUUGGAUGGUAUGCUCUAGAGACUG
RNAcentral lists this non-coding RNA (30 nucleotides) under Mus musculus (house mouse). The record is from RNAcentral. Lineage: Eukaryota; Metazoa; Chordata; Mammalia; Rodentia; Muridae.